RNAcentral lists this transfer RNA (75 nucleotides) under Puniceicoccales bacterium. Its description in RNAcentral is "tRNA-Lys". It matches the Rfam family "tRNA". From Rfam's summary of the family: Transfer RNA (tRNA) molecules are approximately 80 nucleotides in length. The record is from RNAcentral. Lineage: Bacteria; Pseudomonadati; Verrucomicrobiota; Opitutia; Puniceicoccales.
GGGACAGUAGCUCAAUGGUAGAGCAGUUGCCUUUUAAGCAAUUGGUUCCGGGUUCAAAUCCCGGCUGUCCCACCA